RNAcentral lists this ribosomal RNA (124 nucleotides) under uncultured Sphingobacteriaceae bacterium. RNAcentral describes it as "partial 16S ribosomal RNA". It matches the Rfam family "Bacterial small subunit ribosomal RNA", at positions 403 to 525 of the family's 1533-position model. The record is from RNAcentral. Lineage: Bacteria; Pseudomonadati; Bacteroidota; Sphingobacteriia; Sphingobacteriales; Sphingobacteriaceae.
GCAGGAAGACGGCCCUACCGGUUUGUAACUGCUUUUGUACGGGAAUAAACCUUCUUACGUAUAGGAAUUUGAAUGUACCCGAGAAUAAGGAUCGGCUAACUCCGUGCCAGCAGCCGCGGUAAUA